Long non-coding RNA from Carassius carassius (crucian carp), 401 nucleotides. RefSeq lists it as uncharacterized. The transcript has 3 exons. Lineage: Eukaryota; Metazoa; Chordata; Actinopteri; Cypriniformes; Cyprinidae. The record is from RefSeq and is a predicted model, not a curated record.
GCCAGGCUGGGUGCUUUAUAACAGUCUUCACUGUUUGGUUAAGAGAGAUUCCCUGGUCUACAGUUUUGUUGCGGUUUGGAUGUGUGGCUCCUUCGUGUAAUCAAGGUCUUGGGCAAGGCACCUGCCGGGUAGCUGUACCACAAUUAAGCCACAGCAUCUAAAAGAGUAUUAAAGCAGCUGCUUAUAGGAGAGGUUCCUGGGUCCAUCUUCACGCACUGCACCUCGUAUUGUAGUGGUAAACUGCACCUCACAAUAUUGAUUGAAUCACUUGUUUGCAGUGGUUGUGCCUAUGUGUGCGUAGUGUGUGUAUGCUUUUGACUGUAGGCACAAGAGUUUAGAGCACUGUUGGUGAACUUCACGUUUAUCCCGAACAGGUAACCUAUCCUGACAGUGAAUUAAUA